RNAcentral lists this small RNA (29 nucleotides) under Bombyx mori (domestic silkworm). RNAcentral describes it as "ovarian small RNA-20107". The record is from RNAcentral. Lineage: Eukaryota; Metazoa; Arthropoda; Insecta; Lepidoptera; Bombycidae.
UACAAGGUCACUUAGGGGUGACGCCAUUC